CCUACGGGAGGCAGCAGUGGGGAAUAUUGCACAAUGGGGGGAACCCUGAUGCAGCGACGCCGCGUGGGUGAAGGAGUAUUUCGGUAUGUAAAGCCCUAUCAGCAGGGAAGAACAAUGACGGUACCUGACUAAGAAGCCCCGGCUAAAUACGUGCCAGCAGCCGCGGUAAUACGUCUGGUGAAAGCGUUAUCCGGAUUUACUGGGUGUAACGGGAGCGCGGGCGGCGCGUUAAGCCUUGUGUGAAAGCCCGGGGCCCAACCGCGGGACUGCAUUGGAUACUGGCGCGCUGGAGUGCGGGAGGGGUAGGCGGAAUUCCUAGUGUAGCGGUGAAAUGCGUAGAUAUUAGGAGGAACACCAGUGGCGAAGGCGGCCUACUGGACGGUGACUGACGCUGAGGCUCGAAAGCGUGGGGAGCAAACAGGAUUAGAUACCCUUGUAGUC
This 441-nucleotide ribosomal RNA is filed under the name uncultured bacterium. RNAcentral describes it as "partial 16S ribosomal RNA". It matches the Rfam family "Bacterial small subunit ribosomal RNA", at positions 338 to 795 of the family's 1533-position model. The record is from RNAcentral.